CUCAUUUGUGCAUGUGCUUUUGUAUCAGUGUUGAGCUGCUUCUAAUUACACUGGAGGCUGUAUUAAUUUGAACACUUACUUAUGUAGUCAACUAUUUAAAUGUUCAUGUCCUAUUUUUCCAACUAGAAUUAAAAAGCAGCUUGAAACUUACGUUGUCUGAUAUGGAUCUGACAAUAAAUAAAAAUCAGAUAGACAUGUUCAUGAUAUUAAUUAAGUCACCUGUUUCUGAUGCAGCUGACAAUGCAAUAUUACAGACCAGAAUGAUUUUUACAAGUGUAGAAGAAAAACUAAAGGUUCCUUCUAACUUCUGACACAGAGCUGAAAUAUCAUUUGAGGGUGGGGGAGGACAACCCUAAAGAUAGAGAAGAAACUCGAUUUUGUCCCUGGGUAGGUAGGGUACUUACUGGGUAAUUACAACAUCAGUAUUUGCCUAAAUAGUUUCCCUUAUUACCUAGUUAUUUGCAAAUCUGAGAAGUUUCUGUCUGUGCCUCCAAUCUGCUUUCUGUGUUUCAGAAACUCCAUGCUGUUCUUCAGAAAUCUUCUCUAAUUUAUUUUAUUUAAUUGUUUGGUCAAAACUGUAUUGUUAAAUAUAUCCCUAGGAAGCAUAUCAGGUGGUUUUAUUUUUGAGACCAGCGGUAUGUAGCAGGAACUGAUAAUGUGAAACCUUCUCUGGAAAUGUUUUACUAAGUAGUCUACCUGUGUUGGUUUGGGAAGGUUUCUCUUGGGGGUAAAAUUUACAUAAGUUUCCUUUUACUUCCUGCUAGUUCUUUUUCUGUUCACUGCUUGUUUUGCACUGUUGUAAAUAACAGUCCAUGGUGCUGUUUUGUGACACUCCCUCAGACUCUCUCUCAGUUUUUACAUAGGAGGGUCAGAGUGGGCAGCACAGAGGUACACAUCACACAACCCUGUGGCUUCUGCUGAUGCUGGGAAGUAGACAGUUCAAAUAUUUCGUCACUAGCAGAAAUGUGACCCAAAAUGAUAAUUACAUUGUAAGAAAUACCUAUAUUUAUGUAACUAACUCAAGAGAGGGUGUUUUUUUGGUGAUAAUAGAAUGUGGAAGGUGACAUAUUUCAGUUGUUAUCCAGAUGCAGAUCCGUAUCUCCCCAGUAUUGUGCAGAGCUGGCAGGCCAGUAGGAGCCAGCAUUAGCAGAAGUCUUGUCUUCCUGCGUGGAUGGCUCCUUCCUUGUGGGUAGCUGCCUUCUCUGUCAGCUGCUGCAACAAAAGAAAUCAGAAUUAGGCCUUUGUAUAGGAUCAAGUGGUGGGGUACUAGUAGAGUCAUACCGGGUUUCUGAUGUUCACAUUUAUUCAAGAAUGGAUAUUUCUUUUUUGUCUGGUUUCAGCCUUUUUGGGGUAAUACAAGUUAGACCUGAGGUGAUAGUUUAGUAGGAUAAUAGCAUUCACAUGGGGAAAUUAUUGGUCAUAACUAUAUUGUUUAUAUAGUUUAUGAAAUAUGUACUUUUUAUUUUUAUGCUUACAAGUUUCCAAUGUCAACGAGAUGUUGGCUGGUGAAAUUUAUUUUUUUUUCCUGGCUCUUGACAGUUUAAGGACAAGUGGUUUUGUUUUCUCUCAUAUAAUUGGAAAAGUGGACAAGGUCAGGGAGUUUUAAUGGAGUGAAGGGAAUCUGGUGAGAGCCACUGUGUAACACAUGAGCUAUAUUUUCCUAUUAGUGUGGAAUUCUUUAAUGCUUCUCAGUUGUAUGCUUUCUUGAGAAAACUCUCAUUCAACAUAAACAUGUUUUUCCAAGACUUGGAAGUCCAUAUUAAAUAUUGCAGCCUGCAGCAGGGAGCCACUCCAUUAGCUCUCAAUGAGUGAAGCUUACGUGUAAUUCAUAGGACCAAGACUGGGAGUGAAAUUCCCUAUUUAGUCAAUAGGGAAAGUUAGGUAGCAUGAAUUACAUAGUGUCCUCUUCCUCCCACUCCCUAGUAAACUACCAUGAUUAAGUGCUGAGAGUAAAUCAUGUAACUCCCCCCAGUGCAAUUCAGCAAGGCCAUCAGUACUCAGUCCUAGGAUAGAAGCACUAGUGGGGAACAGGGUGGAGCAUAAGGAAAAGGUAAUAAGGAUUUGCCAGAUGGAAGGCUCAGAUGUGCUGAGAGGAGGAAGGGAUUGUAACACCCCUAGCAGAAAAAGAGGUUUGGUGAGGAUUUGGAUGACAGGAAGAAAAGCAAAGUUACAGUAUCUAUAGUCAUCCCUGACACUAAUUAUCACCCAUUUAUUUUCCACUGGUCAGUUAAACUGAAUUUAGGUUUCAUCUUAAAACUGUCAAGCAAAAUUUUGUGGGGAAUAUCAAGGCAACUUCUGUAGAAGGAUCCUCACAUUACAAACUCUUUCUUUCCCUUCUCUUCCCCUCCUAUUUCCCCUCUUCUACAAACUAGUUUUAUAUGACUCAAACCCUUUAAUCUACUACAAAGACCAGAGCAUUUUAAAUGCUUUUGUAUUGCAGUUCUGGUAUAUAUUCAGCCUGAUUUCAAUACGGUUAACUGUUUCACCUGCCUGAGACACUAUUUAUAAUCUUAGAUGUGAAUAUUAUCUGAUUCACUUACUCGUAAUGGUGAGAAAGCUGCUCCCUCUUCUCCACCCACAACCAGUGUACGGGUUUUGGAUUACAGCUACACCUGCCUCAGUAAAGUUGUAUUUGUAAACCUCUAGUGAAUGUAUCACACUGGCGGAAUAAUGUGUACAUAACAAAAUUUUCUUCUGGAAAAAAUAAAUCUCCCAAUAUCCCAUGUUUGUUUUGUUGUUAAAAUUGGUCCGCCUUGGAGUUCUUGCUCUGCUGGUUCAAGUGCAUGCGUUUCACUUGCUAUUUGAUGAUCCUGACUUGCUGUUAAUAGGCUAAUGUGGAUUGAAUCUAUUUGUUACCAGUUUAGCUAAGGAAUAGCUUGCUUUUGGUGUUUUUUCCUUCUAAGUAUGAGAUAACUUAAAAGAACGUCUGUGGAGGAGGAGUAAUUCCACACAGCAGCAAUAAAAUUGUGUGAUAUAAAACUGAGAGAAUUUGUUGACACUGGCACCAGCAUAUUCUGUGUGUUGCCACUGUGCAAAAAA
This is a long non-coding RNA of Neopelma chrysocephalum (saffron-crested tyrant-manakin), 3039 nucleotides long. RefSeq lists it as uncharacterized. The transcript has 2 exons. NCBI's taxonomy places the organism in Eukaryota, Metazoa, Chordata, Aves, Passeriformes, Pipridae. The record is from RefSeq and is a predicted model, not a curated record.